This 460-nucleotide ribosomal RNA is filed under the name uncultured Methylomirabilota bacterium. RNAcentral describes it as "bacterial SSU rRNA". It matches the Rfam family "Bacterial small subunit ribosomal RNA", at positions 977 to 1435 of the family's 1533-position model. The record is from RNAcentral. Lineage: Bacteria; Methylomirabilota (SeqCode).
GGGCUUGACAUCCCACGAACCUGCUGGAAGGCAGGAGUGCCCGCAAGGGAGCGCGGAGACAGGUGGUGCAUGGCUGUCGUCAGCUCGUGUCGUGAGAUGUUGGGUUAAGUCCCGCAACGAGCGCAACCCUCACCCCUUGUUGCUACCAGGUAAAGCUGGGCACUCUAGGGGAACUGCCCCGGUCAACGGGGAGAAAGGCGGGGAUGACGUCAAGUCAUCAUGCCCCUUACGUCCUGGGCUACACAUGUGCUACAAUGGCCGGUACAAAGGGAUGCCACACCGCGAGGUAGAGCUAAACCCAAAAAGCCGGUCUAAGUUCAGAUUGGAGUCUGCAACUCGACUCCAUGAAGGAGGAAUCGCUAGUAAUCGCGUAUCAGCACGACGCGGUGAAUACGUUUCCGGGCCUUGUACACACCGCCCGUCACACCACGAAAGCCAGCUGUACUCGAAGUCGCUGAGA